GACGAACGCUGGCGGCGUGCCUAAUACAUGCAAGUAGAACGCUGAAGGAGGAGCUUGCUCUUCUGGAUGAGUUGCGAACGGGUGAGUAACGCGUAGGUAACCUGCCUGGUAGCGGGGGAUAACUAUUGGAAACGAUAGCUAAUACCGCAUAAUAUUGACUAUUGCAUGAUAGUCAAUUGAAAGGUGCAAAUGCACCACUACCAGAUGGACCUGCGUUGUAUUAGCUAGUUGGUGGGGUAACGGCUCACCAAGGCGACGAUACAUAGCCGACCUGAGAGGGUGAUCGGCCACACUGGGACUGAGACACGGCCCAGACUCCUACGGGAGGCAGCAGUAGGGAAUCUUCGGCAAUGGACGGAAGUCUGACCGAGCAACGCCGCGUGAGUGAAGAAGGUUUUCGGAUCGUAAAGCUCUGUUGUAAGAGAAGAACGAGUGUGAGAGUGGAA
This 446-nucleotide ribosomal RNA is filed under the name Streptococcus cristatus. RNAcentral's name for it is "bacterial SSU rRNA". It matches the Rfam family "Bacterial small subunit ribosomal RNA", at positions 28 to 466 of the family's 1533-position model. The record is from RNAcentral. Lineage: Bacteria; Bacillati; Bacillota; Bacilli; Lactobacillales; Streptococcaceae.